RNAcentral lists this long non-coding RNA (562 nucleotides) under Pongo abelii (Sumatran orangutan). Its description in RNAcentral is "lincRNA". Lineage: Eukaryota; Metazoa; Chordata; Mammalia; Primates; Hominidae. The record is from RNAcentral.
AUGUUAUUCUUUCUACAAUGUAACCUUUGCAAGUAUAGCAUUUGAAGUUUAGUUGCCAGUGACGUGUGUGUCAAUUCUUCCUGAAUUAGAUGAGGUUCACUUCCUUCCUUUAAAUAUGAGGAAGCCAAGGCAAGGAGAAGAAAAGUGAAUUAACUAAGGAGAGAAAGCUAAGAGCAAAGUUCCUUGCUGAGUUUAGGAUAAAGAGACAGACGAGGAGGAACCCAAUUACUAGGGGACACCAUUAGGAUGAAAGAGCAGAAGUGUGGAACUGAAAAUGGGGAGCUCUAUCCACCCACGGAAUUGUCAACAGGUAUGCACGUAGCAUCAGCGACUCCGGGAGAGCUGACAGGCUAGGAGCCAGCUGUAGCUUACACUUGAAAAUAAUAAUAAUAUCCACUUAGGGGUAUGGAAUUAUUUAUCACCACUGGUGGAAUUUUUGCCAAAGGCAAGAAAUGAAAACAUCCGAUGAAAAAUCUCUUCAGUCCACAGCCCAUCACACUGACACACCAUACAAACUGAUUAACUCUCUGGCCAAGAAUAAACGGUACUAUAGUUAUUACUA